Molecule: ribosomal RNA, 442 nt
Filed under: uncultured Peptostreptococcaceae bacterium
Lineage: Bacteria; Bacillati; Bacillota; Clostridia; Peptostreptococcales; Peptostreptococcaceae
Description: bacterial SSU rRNA
Rfam family: Bacterial small subunit ribosomal RNA
Source: RNAcentral
AGUAUGUGGUUUAAUUCGAAGCAACGCGAAGAACCUUACCAGGGCUUGACAUCCCUUGAAGCAGCUAGAGAUAGCUGUGUCCUUCGGGACAGGAGACAGGUGGUGCAUGGUUGUCGUCAGCUCGUGUCGUGAGAUGUUGGGUUAAGUCCCGCAACCGAGCGCAACCCUUGUCCUUAGUUGCCACCAUUCAGUUGGGCACUCUAAGGAGACUGCCGGUGUUAAACCGGAGGAAGGUGGGAUGACGUCAAGUCAUCAUGGCCCUUACGACCAGGGCUACACACGUGCUACAAUGGCGCAUACAAAGAGAAGCGACCUCGCGAGAGCAAGCGGACCUCAUAAAGUGCGUCGUAGUCCGGAUUGGAGUCUGCAACUCGACUCCAUGAAGUCGGAAUCGCUAGUAAUCGUGGAUCAGAAUGCCACGGUGAAUACGUUCCCGGGCCUU